RNAcentral lists this ribosomal RNA (465 nucleotides) under uncultured bacterium. Its description in RNAcentral is "partial 16S ribosomal RNA". It matches the Rfam family "Bacterial small subunit ribosomal RNA", at positions 338 to 795 of the family's 1533-position model. The record is from RNAcentral.
CCUACUGGCGGCAGCAGUGGGGAAUAUUGCGCAAUGGGCGAAAGCCUGACGCAGCGACGCCGCGUGAGUGAUGAAGGUCUUCGGAUCGUACACCUCUGUCAGCAGGUACGACCGCUUACUGUGCUAAUCAGCAGUGACUUGACGGUACCUGCAAAAGAAGCACCGGCUAACUCCGUGCCAGCAGCCGCGGUAAUACGGAGGGUGCGAGCGUUAAUCGGAAUUACUGGGCGUAAAGCGCUCGUAGGCGGUAUGUCAAGUCAAGGGUGAAAUUCCCGCGCUAAACGUGGGAACUGCCUUUGAAACUGGGAAACUGGAGUGUGUGAGAGGAUAGUGGAAUUCCAGGUGUAGGAGGGAAAUCCGUAGAUAUCUGGAGGAACAUCAGUGGCGAAGGCGACUAUCUGGCACAUAACUGACGCUGAGGAGCGAAAGCGUGGGGAGCAAACAGGAUUAGAUACCCGGGUAGUC